UAGUGUUUGUCAGGUUCAACUCCAGCUAUGGCUUCCCAGUGGAGGUCGAUUCUGACACCAGCAUCUUCCAGCUCAAGGAAGUGGUUGCUAAGCGACAGGGGGUUCCAGCUGACCAGCUGCGAGUGAUUUUUGCUGGGAAGGAGCUGCAGAAUCACCUGACAGUACAGCCGUGCUCUCCACAGCUGUCAUCUUCUGCACAGCAGCUCUGACAACGAGGAAGAGGGGGUGUGCACGUUGACUGUUGACAUCAUAGAAGGACUGUGGACAUCUCUGCAGACAGACAUCUACUGACUAUGAUGUUCCCUCAGAAGACGAGCAUGGGAAGGCCUCUGCACCCUCACCAACUCUUUCAGCCAGUUCCUUGUGCCUGUCAUGGCCAGGUGUACGGAACUCUACCUUACUUGCCCAUGACCUGGCUAUGUUAGAGAGUGCAGAUGGCAGGAGAACUUGUUGGACGAAUCAUUUCAUCUAACCGGCUAUGGGCCAUUCACACUGGGGUGUGACUUUAUAGGGAGUGUGACUGAUUUAGGGUCACCCACUCUCCUAUAAAUAACCCCUCACCCGUGCUUUGUAAGUAAGACCAAUAAACUCACCAAUGCUCU
This 602-nucleotide long non-coding RNA is filed under the name Rattus norvegicus (Norway rat). Its description in RNAcentral is "long non-coding RNA NONRATT000182". Lineage: Eukaryota; Metazoa; Chordata; Mammalia; Rodentia; Muridae. The record is from RNAcentral.